GAUGAACGCUAGCGGCAGGCUUAACACAUGCAAGUCGAGGGGCAGCGGGGUGUAGCAAUACAUCGCCGGCGACCGGCGCACGGGUGCGUAACACGUAUGGAAUCUGCCCUUUACUGGGGGAUAGCCCGGAGAAAUCCGGAUUAAUACCCCAUAACAAGCGAGGUGGCAUCAUCUUGCUUUGAAAGCUCCGGCGGUAAAGGAUGACCAUGCGCCCGAUUAGCUAGUUGGUGAGGUAAUGGCUCACCAAGGCUACGAUCGGUAGGGGGCCUGAGAGGGUUAUCCCCCACACUGGUACUGAGACACGGACCAGACUCCUACGGGAGGCAGCAGUGGGGAAUAUUGCGCAAUGGGCGAAAGCCUGACGCAGCCACGCCGCGUGUGCGAUGAAGGUCUUCGGAUCGUAAAGCACUGUGGGGGGAGAAGAACAAAGCCGGUGAAGAGCCGGCCCUGACGGUAUCCCCUUAGCAAGCACCGGCUAACUCCGUGCCAGCAGCCGACGG
Molecule: ribosomal RNA, 500 nt
Filed under: uncultured bacterium
Lineage: Bacteria
Description: bacterial SSU rRNA
Rfam family: Bacterial small subunit ribosomal RNA
Source: RNAcentral